RNAcentral lists this ribosomal RNA (465 nucleotides) under uncultured bacterium. RNAcentral's name for it is "partial 16S ribosomal RNA". It matches the Rfam family "Bacterial small subunit ribosomal RNA", at positions 28 to 507 of the family's 1533-position model. The record is from RNAcentral.
GACGAACGCUGGCGGCGUGCUUAACACAUGCAAGUCGAACGGAAAGGCCCUGCUUGCAGGGUACUCGAGUGGCGAACGGGUGAGUAACACGUGGGUGAUCUGCCCUGCACUUCGGGAUAAGCCUGGGAAACUGGGUCUAAUACCGGAUAGGAGCCAUUUUUAGUGUGAUGGUUGGAAAGUUUUUUCGGUGUAGGAUGAGCUCGCGGCCUAUCAGCUUGUUGGUGGGGUAAUGGCCUACCAAGGCGGCGACGGGUAGCCGGCCUGAGAGGGUGGACGGCCACAUUGGGACUGAGAUACGGCCCAGACUCCUACGGGAGGCAGCAGUGGGGAAUAUUGCACAAUGGGCGCAAGCCUGAUGCAGCGACGCCGCGUGGGGGAGGACGGCCUUCGGGUUGUAAACGCCUUUCGCUAGGAACGAAGCUUUUUGUGACGGUACCUAGAUAAGAAGCACCGGCUAACUACGUG